CUCCUACGGGAGGCAGCAGUGGGGAAUAUUGGACAAUGGGCGCAAGCCUGAUCCAGCCAUGCCGCGUGGGUGAAGAAGGCCUUCGGGUUGUAAAGCCCUUUUGUUGGGAAAGAAAAGCAGCCGGUUAAUACCCGGUUGUUCUGACGGUACCCAAAGAAUAAGCACCGGCUAACUUCGUGCCAGCAGCCGCGGUAAUACGAAGGGUGCAAGCGUUACUCGGAAUUACUGGGCGUAAAGCGUGCGUAGGUGGUUCGUUAAGUCUGAUGUGAAAGCCCUGGGCUCAACCUGGGAAUUGCAUUGGAUACUGGCGGGCUAGAGUACGGUAGAGGGUAGUGGAAUUCCUGGUGUAGCAGUGAAAUGCGUAGAGAUCAGGAGGAACAUCCGUGGCGAAGGCGACUACCUGGACCAGUACUGACACUGAGGCACGAAAGCGUGGGGAGCAAACAGGAUUAGGUACCCUGGUAGUCCACGCCCUAAACGAUGCGAACUGGAUGUUGGGUUCAACUAGGAACUCAGUAUCGAAGCUAACGCGUUAA
RNAcentral lists this ribosomal RNA (536 nucleotides) under uncultured bacterium. RNAcentral's name for it is "bacterial SSU rRNA". It matches the Rfam family "Bacterial small subunit ribosomal RNA", at positions 336 to 863 of the family's 1533-position model. The record is from RNAcentral.